RNAcentral lists this ribosomal RNA (1395 nucleotides) under uncultured Acidobacteriota bacterium. RNAcentral's name for it is "bacterial SSU rRNA". It matches the Rfam family "Bacterial small subunit ribosomal RNA". Lineage: Bacteria; Pseudomonadati; Acidobacteriota. The record is from RNAcentral.
AGAGUUUGAUCAUGGCUCAGAGCGAACGCUGGCGGCGUGCUUAACACAUGCAAGUCGAGUGCGCAGUUUUGUGUAGCAAUACACAGAAUGGGCGCACGGCGCACGGGUGCGUAACACGUGGGUAAUUUGCCCUCAAGUGGGGGAUAACCCGCCGAAAGGCGGGCUAAUACCGCAUAACACUCCCAGGACUACGGUCUAGGGAUUCAAAGCCCGCAAGGGCGCUAGGGGAGAAACCCGCGGCCGAUUAGCUUGUUGGCGAGGUAACGGCUCACCAAGGCAAUGAUCGGUAGCUGGUCUGAGAGGAUGGCCGGCCACACUGGAACUGAGAUACGGUCCAGACUCCUACGGGAGGCAGCAGUGGGGAAUCUUGCGCAAUGGGCGAAGGCCUGACGCAGCGACGCCGCGUGGGGGACGAAGCUUCUCGGAGUGUAAACCCCUUUCGAUCCGGACGAAUAUCCCGCAAGGGAUUGACGGUACGGGAUGAAGAAGCCCCGGCUAACUACGUGCCAGCAGCCGCGGUAAGACGUAGGGGGCCAGCGUUGCUCGGAAUAACUGGGCGUAAAGGGUCUGUAGGCGGUGCGGCAAGUCGGGAGUGAAAUCUCUGGGCUUAACUCAGAGGCUGCUUCCGAAACUGCCGUGCUGGAGUGCGGGAGAGGUGAGUGGAAUUGCAGGUGUAGCGGUGAAAUGCGUAGAUAUCUGCAGGAACACCAGAGGCGAAGGCGGCUCACUGGACCGCAACUGACGCUGAGAGACGAAAGCUAGGGGAGCAAACAGGAUUAGAUACCCUGGUAGUCCUAGCCCUAAACGAUCAGGACUUGGCGUGGGCCCCGUACGGGGCUCGUGUCGGAGCUAACGUGUUAAGUCCUGCGCCUGGGGAGUACGGUCGCAAGGCUGAAACUCAAAGGAAUUGACGGGGGCCCGCACAAGCGGUGGAACAUGUGGUUCAAUUCGACGCAACGCGAAGAACCUUACCUGGGCUUGAACCGCACAGGACCAUCUUUGGAAACAGAGACUUCCCGCAAGGGACCUGUGUAGAGGUGCUGCAUGGCUGUCGUCAGCUCGUGCCGUGAGGUGUUGGGUUAAGUCCCGCAACGAGCGCAACCCUUACCCUUAGUUGCUACCCGCAAGGGAGAACUCUAAGGGGACUGCUCCGGAUAACGGAGAGGAAGGCGGGGAUGACGUCAAGUCAGCAUGGCCUUUAUGUCCAGGGCUACACACGUGUUACAAUGCAUGCUACAAAGCGCUGCCAACCCGCGAGGGGGAGCCAAUCGCAAAAAAGCAUGCUCAGUUCGGAUUGCAGUCUGCAACUCGACUGCAUGAAGCCGGAAUCGCUAGUAAUGGCGCAUCAGCACGGCGCCGUGAAUACGUUCCCGGGCCUUGUACACACCGCCCGUC